This 679-nucleotide ribosomal RNA is filed under the name Sharpea azabuensis. RNAcentral's name for it is "bacterial SSU rRNA". It matches the Rfam family "Bacterial small subunit ribosomal RNA", at positions 85 to 751 of the family's 1533-position model. Lineage: Bacteria; Bacillati; Bacillota; Erysipelotrichia; Erysipelotrichales; Coprobacillaceae. The record is from RNAcentral.
UCGGCGCUCAGUGGCGAACGGGUGAGUAGCACAUGGGCAACCUGCCCUUCAGAGGGGGACAACAGCUGGAAACGGCUGCUAAGACCGCAUAGGCGCGGACGGGACAUCCCGUCCACGUUAAACGUCCUUUCGGGGACGGCUGAAGGAUGGGCCUGUGGCGCAUUAGCUUGUUGGCGGGGCAACGGCCCACCAAGGCGACGAUGCGUAGCCGGCCUGAGAGGGCGGACGGCCACACUGGGACUGAGACACGGCCCAGACUCCUACGGGAGGCAGCAGUAGGGAAUUUUCGGCAAUGGGGGGAACCCUGACCGAGCAACGCCGCGUGAACGAGGAAGGCCUUCGGGUCGUAAAGUUCUGUUGCGAAGGAAGAACGCCGGAGGGAGGAAAUGACCUCCGGGUGACGGUACUUCGCGAGAAAGCCACGGCUAACUACGUGCCAGCAGCCGCGGUAAUACGUAGGUGGCGAGCGUUAUCCGGAAUCAUUGGGCGUAAAGAGGGAGCAGGCGGCCGUGAGGGUCUGUGGUAAAAGACUGAAGCUCAACUUCAGUGAGCCAUGGAAACCGGACGGCUGGAGUGCGGCAGAGGAUCGUGGAAUUCCAUGUGUAGCGGUGAAAUGCGUAGAUAUAUGGAGGAACACCAGUGGCGAAGGCGACGGUCUGGGCCUGCACUGACGCUCAUU